Molecule: long non-coding RNA, 1018 nt
Filed under: Mus spicilegus (steppe mouse)
Lineage: Eukaryota; Metazoa; Chordata; Mammalia; Rodentia; Muridae
Description: lncRNA (ENSMSIG00000018496.1)
Source: RNAcentral
UGAACCUGGGUACAGAACCCAGCUUCUUAAUACACAGCUCACUAGACUAACCCCAACAGAUCUGCUUGGAUAGGGGAAGGAGAGGUGAGACACUGGGUUCUGGAACAUCUCCUCCAACUGCCAAGUAAGCUUCUUAUAGGAAACAUGAUAGGCAAUCUUCACGGGCAGCUGCGAUUUGGAAUCACCUGGGAGACACACCUCUGCAUGUGUCAGUUAAAGUAUUUCAGGUUAAGACCUAACUGAGGUGGGAAGUUCUACCCUACAUGUGGAGAGUGACAUUCCAUGGGCUGGGAUCCUGGGCUGAAUAUAAAGGAGAAAAUGUCCACUUCUCUGUGUCCUGACUAAGGACCAAGUCUGAUCAGCUUCUUCUGUCAUGCUGCUAUGAUAGCUUUCCCUCCACAGAAGUUUCCAUCUUCAAACUGUAGAUCAAAUUGUUUCUUAAAUUGUUUCUAUCAGAUGGUUUGUCACAGCAACUAGAAAAACAAUUAAUCCCGCACCGUUCUCCGUAGUCUAUCUGGUGCCCGAGUUUCCUGUGCAGGAAUCCCUUAAACAAGCUUCCGGAGUAGGAGUGGGGUGACCCGGAAGUAAAGGCUCAGAGAGGCGGCUUGAGGAGAGAAAUGUGAGGUUUCAGGAAGUCAGACACAGCAUAACUAAGACGGUAUCUUAGAGUGUAUUCCUAGCACGCCCGCUGCAGACCAGAAUCUUCCAAACCAGCAGCCAACAAACAGCAAAUACACGGCAGAGUGCAGCUCUCUCAGCACAAAAUGGUAUGUGGACCUGGAAGACGACAGCUUUCUGCAGAGGCAUUUUCAAAUUUCCUUUCCUUUGAGGAGAGAAACUUCUGGAAACAUUGGGACACCACCACUGAGAUUGCUGCACUUCGAGUGUCAUAAGGUUGCCCCUUCUGACCCCAUCUCCAAGAGCAGCUGGCCUGGGUAGGUUCUAUAGCAGUGGGGAUGCAUUAGCAUGUAUGCUGUUCCUGGUUUUCCUACUCUUUCAGACACUGGGAUGCAACCAG